GUUUGUUAUAAAUUAUGCUCUAUUGGUCGUUUUUAUUUUCUACCAAUCUUUACUUCUGUGACAGUGAGAUAAUAUGAUGUCUUUACUGAGCUAGUGUAGCUCAUUCCUUACUUAACCAUUUCAGAUCAGGAAGACUUGGUUCCCGAGCCCGUCCUACAGGAAGACAGCGAGUAGAUGCCUAAAGAUUUCAUAGUUUUAUUUAUAACAUUCAUCUAUCGUAUUUACUUUAUUUAGUUUAUUUUUUCAUAUGUUUAGUACGUUUG
This 263-nucleotide long non-coding RNA is filed under the name Carica papaya (papaya). RNAcentral's name for it is "long non-coding RNA (CPAP_LNC006880)". Lineage: Eukaryota; Viridiplantae; Streptophyta; Magnoliopsida; Brassicales; Caricaceae. The record is from RNAcentral.